Molecule: ribosomal RNA, 253 nt
Filed under: uncultured bacterium
Lineage: Bacteria
Also listed under: 1 other name
Description: partial 16S ribosomal RNA
Rfam family: Bacterial small subunit ribosomal RNA
Source: RNAcentral
AACGUAGGAGACAAACGUUAUCCGGAGUUACUGGGCGUAAAGGGCGUGUAGGUGGUUUUGUAAGUCUGGCGUGAAAUUUUUCGGCUUAACCGGGAAAGGUCGUCGGAUACUGCAGAACUAGAGGACGGUAGAGGCGUGUGGAAUUCCGGGUGUAGUGGUGAAAUGCGUAGAGAUCCGGAGGAACACCAGUGGCGAAGGCGACACGCUGGGCCGUACCUGACACUGAUGCGCGACAGCAUGGGGAGCAAACAGG